RNAcentral lists this ribosomal RNA (466 nucleotides) under uncultured bacterium. RNAcentral describes it as "partial 16S ribosomal RNA". It matches the Rfam family "Bacterial small subunit ribosomal RNA", at positions 28 to 507 of the family's 1533-position model. The record is from RNAcentral.
GACGAACGCUGGCGGCGUGCUUAACACAUGCAAGUCGAACGGAAAGGCCCUGCUUGCAGGGUACUCGAGUGGCGAACGGGUGAGUAACACGUGGGUGAUCUGCCCUGCACUUCGGGAUAAGCUUGGGAAACUGGGUCUAAUACCGGAUAGGAGCCAUCUUUAGUGUGGUGGUUGGAAAGUUUUUUCGGUGUAGGAUGAGCUCGCGGCCUAUCAGCUUGUUGGUGGGGUAAUGGCCUACCAAGGCGGCGACGGGAAGCCGGCCUGAGAGGGUGUACGGCCACAUUGGGACUGAGAUACGGCCCAGACUCCUACGGGAGGCAGCAGUGGGGAAUAUUGCACAAUGGGCGCAAGCCUGAUGCAGCGACGCCGCGUGGGGGAUGAAGGCCUUCGGGUUGUAAACUCCUUUCGCUAGGGACGAAGCGUUGUUGUGACGGUACCUAGAUAAGAAGCACCGGCUAACUACGUG